RNAcentral lists this unclassified non-coding RNA (520 nucleotides) under uncultured Glomus. RNAcentral describes it as "SSU rRNA". It matches the Rfam family "Eukaryotic small subunit ribosomal RNA", at positions 569 to 1086 of the family's 1831-position model. Lineage: Eukaryota; Fungi; Glomeromycota; Glomeromycetes; Glomerales; Glomeraceae. The record is from RNAcentral.
AGCAGCCGCGGUAAUUCCAGCUCCAAUAGCGUAUAUUAAAGUUGUUGCAGUUAAAAGCUCGUAGUUGAAUUUCGGGGUUAGUAGGUUGGUCAUGCCUCUGGUACCCCUGUACUGGUCUCACUGAUUCCUCCUUCCUGAUGAGCCGUAAUGCCAUUAAUUUGGUGUUGCGGGGAAUCUGGACUGUUACUUUGAAAAAUUAGAGUGUUUAAAGCAAGCUAACGCUUGAAUACAUUAGCAUGGAAUAAUGAAAUAGGACGUUCGAUCCUAUUUUGUUGGUUUCUAGGAUUGACGUAAUGAUUAAUAGGGAUAGUUGGGGGCAUUAGUAUUCAAUUGUCAGAGGUGAAAUUCUUGGAUUUAUUGAAGACUAACUACUGCGAAAGCAAUUUGCCAAGGAUGUUUUCAUUAAUCAAGAACGAAAGUUAGGGAUCGAAGACGAUCAGAUACCGUCGUAGUCUUAACCAUAAACCUAUCGCCGACUAGGGAUCGGAUGAUGUUUAAUUUUUAUGACUCAUUUCGGCGU